This 74-nucleotide transfer RNA is filed under the name Stegodyphus dumicola. RNAcentral describes it as "tRNA-Ile". It matches the Rfam family "tRNA". From Rfam's summary of the family: Transfer RNA (tRNA) molecules are approximately 80 nucleotides in length. Their secondary structure includes four short double-helical elements and three loops (D, anti-codon, and T loops). Lineage: Eukaryota; Metazoa; Arthropoda; Arachnida; Araneae; Eresidae. The record is from RNAcentral.
GCCUUCGUGGUGUAGUGGUUCUGCACGCUGGACCUAUAUUUUAGAGGUCCGUGGUUCGAUUCCCGGCGAAGGCG